UGUAAAAUUUGGUUUUGUGGAUUUCUUUUUCUAUUUUUAAAGAAAAAAAUAACACGCUACCAACUUCAUUCAUUAAAUAAGUGAAUUAAGUUACAUAAAGUGAAACAGCCGAGAUCUUAGAAAAUAAAAAGUCAAAAGAAAAAAGAGCAAGAAAGAAGAACCUAAUACAAAAUAAGAACAAACAACAAAAACGAAUAGUUUGCCAAACACCAACCUCACACAACUCUACAAAAAUCGGCCCACUCCUUCACCAGUAGUCCAAUACGGUGAGCAGGAGGGGUAGCGUCUAUUGAUAGGUUCCGAAAGAUAACAUUAUUUCUUUCACUCCAAAUCGUCCACCAUGUGGCUGCCACAAGAAUCUGGACUUUCGCAGUGUCACC
Molecule: long non-coding RNA, 380 nt
Filed under: Ananas comosus (pineapple)
Lineage: Eukaryota; Viridiplantae; Streptophyta; Magnoliopsida; Poales; Bromeliaceae
Description: long non-coding RNA (ACOM_LNC037192)
Source: RNAcentral